Molecule: non-coding RNA, 80 nt
Organism: Podarcis lilfordi (Lilford's wall lizard)
Lineage: Eukaryota; Metazoa; Chordata; Lepidosauria; Squamata; Lacertidae
Source: the annotation of a GenBank genome assembly
AGCCAUGGCUCAGUUGUAGAGUAUCUGCUUUGUAUGCAGAAGGUCUCAGGUUCGAUUCCCCACAUCUCCUGGUAGGGCUG